This 300-nucleotide unclassified non-coding RNA is filed under the name uncultured fungus. RNAcentral's name for it is "sequence contains 5.8S rRNA gene, ITS2". The stretch from base 1 to 71 matches the Rfam family "5.8S ribosomal RNA", at positions 84 to 154 of the family's 154-position model. The record is from RNAcentral. Lineage: Eukaryota; Fungi.
GUGAGUCAUCGAAUCUUUGAACGCACAUUGCGCUCGAGGCUUCGGCCAAGAGCAUGUCUGCCUCAGCGUCGUUUUAUACCCUCGCUCCCCACCUUAAAUGGUGUCGGUCCAAUGCUUCGCGCUUGGGCCUUGGGAGCGGAUCUGGCUCUCCCAAUGCGGCUUUGCUGCUCGGAUUGGGUUAGCUGAAGCACAGAGGCUUGAGCAUGGACCCGAUAUGGGCAUCAACUGGAUAGGUAGCGCCAGCUUCGGCUGUCUACACGAAGUUGUUGUCUGUGGACCUUGCUGGAGGCCAGUCGAACG